RNAcentral lists this ribosomal RNA (253 nucleotides) under uncultured bacterium. Its description in RNAcentral is "partial 16S ribosomal RNA". It matches the Rfam family "Bacterial small subunit ribosomal RNA", at positions 524 to 776 of the family's 1533-position model. The record is from RNAcentral.
UACGUAGGGUGCGAGCGUUGUCCGGUAUUAUUGGGCGUAAAGAGCUCGUAGGCGGUCUGUUGCGUCGGCUGUGAAAACCCGGGGCUCAACUCCGGGCCUGCAGCCGAUACGGGCAGACUAGAGUUCGGCAGGGGAGACUGGAAUUCCUGGUGUAGCGGUGAAAUGCGCAGAUAUCAGGAGGAACACCGGUGGCGAAGGCGGGUCUCUGGGCCGAUACUGACGCUGAGGAGCGAAAGCGUGGGGAGCGAACAGG